Molecule: ribosomal RNA, 2925 nt
Filed under: Lelliottia nimipressuralis
Lineage: Bacteria; Pseudomonadati; Pseudomonadota; Gammaproteobacteria; Enterobacterales; Enterobacteriaceae
Also listed under: 1 other name
Description: bacterial LSU rRNA
Rfam family: Bacterial large subunit ribosomal RNA
Source: RNAcentral
GGGUUGUGAGGUUAAGCGACUAAGCGUACACGGUGGAUGCCCUGGCAGUCAGAGGCGAUGAAGGACGUGCUAAUCUGCGAAAAGCGCCGGCGAGGUGAUAUGAACCUUUGACCCGGCGAUGUCCGAAUGGGGAAACCCAGUGUGAUUCGUCACACUAUCGUUAACUGAAUACAUAGGUUAACGAGGCGAACUGGGGGAACUGAAACAUCUAAGUACCCCGAGGAAAAGAAAUCAACCGAGAUUCCCCCAGUAGCGGCGAGCGAACGGGGAGCAGCCCAGAGUCUGAAUCAGCUUGUGUGUUAGUGGAAGCGUCUGGAAAGUCGCACGGUACAGGGUGACAGUCCCGUACACGAAAGCACACAGGUUGUGAACUCGAAGAGUAGGGCGGGACACGUGGUAUCCUGUCUGAAUAUGGGGGGACCAUCCUCCAAGGCUAAAUACUCCUGACUGACCGAUAGUGAACCAGUACCGUGAGGGAAAGGCGAAAAGAACCCCGGCGAGGGGAGUGAAAUAGAACCUGAAACCGUGUACGUACAAGCAGUGGGAGCACCUUCGUGGUGUGACUGCGUACCUUUUGUAUAAUGGGUCAGCGACUUAUAUUCUGUAGCAAGGUUAACCGUAUAGGGGAGCCGAAGGGAAACCGAGUCUUAACUGGGCGUUAAGUUGCAGGGUAUAGACCCGAAACCCGGUGAUCUAGCCAUGGGCAGGUUGAAGGUUGGGUAACACUAACUGGAGGACCGAACCGACUAAUGUUGAAAAAUUAGCGGAUGACUUGUGGCUGGGGGUGAAAGGCCAAUCAAACCGGGAGAUAGCUGGUUCUCCCCGAAAGCUAUUUAGGUAGCGCCUCGUGAACUCAUCUUCGGGGGUAGAGCACUGUUUCGGCUAGGGGGCCAUCCCGGCUUACCAACCCGAUGCAAACUACGAAUACCGAAGAAUGUUAUCACGGGAGACACACGGCGGGUGCUAACGUCCGUCGUGAAGAGGGAAACAACCCAGACCGCCAGCUAAGGUCCCAAAGUCAUGGUUAAGUGGGAAACGAUGUGGGAAGGCACAGACAGCCAGGAUGUUGGCUUAGAAGCAGCCAUCAUUUAAAGAAAGCGUAAUAGCUCACUGGUCGAGUCGGCCUGCGCGGAAGAUGUAACGGGGCUAAACCAUGCACCGAAGCUGCGGCAGCGACACUAUGUGUUGUUGGGUAGGGGAGCGUUCUGUAAGCCGUUGAAGGUGGCCUGUGAGGGUUGCUGGAGGUAUCAGAAGUGCGAAUGCUGACAUAAGUAACGAUAAAGCGGGUGAAAAGCCCGCUCGCCGGAAGACCAAGGGUUCCUGUCCAACGUUAAUCGGGGCAGGGUGAGUCGACCCCUAAGGCGAGGCCGAAAGGCGUAGUCGAUGGGAAACAGGUUAAUAUUCCUGUACUUGGUGUUACUGCGAAGGGGGGACGGAGAAGGCUAUGUUAGCCGGGCGACGGUUGUCCCGGUUUAAGCAUGUAGGCGGAGGUUCCAGGUAAAUCCGGUACCUUUUAACGCUGAGGUGUGAUGACGAGGCACUACGGUGCUGAAGUAACAAAUGCCCUGCUUCCAGGAAAAGCCUCUAAGCAUCAGGUAACAUCAAAUCGUACCCCAAACCGACACAGGUGGUCAGGUAGAGAAUACCAAGGCGCUUGAGAGAACUCGGGUGAAGGAACUAGGCAAAAUGGUGCCGUAACUUCGGGAGAAGGCACGCUGAUAUGUAGGUGAAGCCCCUGCGGGUGGAGCUGAAAUCAGUCGAAGAUACCAGCUGGCUGCAACUGUUUAUUAAAAACACAGCACUGUGCAAACACGAAAGUGGACGUAUACGGUGUGACGCCUGCCCGGUGCCGGAAGGUUAAUUGAUGGGGUUAGCGGCAACGCGAAGCUCUUGAUCGAAGCCCCGGUAAACGGCGGCCGUAACUAUAACGGUCCUAAGGUAGCGAAAUUCCUUGUCGGGUAAGUUCCGACCUGCACGAAUGGCGUAAUGAUGGCCAGGCUGUCUCCACCCGAGACUCAGUGAAAUUGAACUCGCUGUGAAGAUGCAGUGUACCCGCGGCAAGACGGAAAGACCCCGUGAACCUUUACUAUAGCUUGACACUGAACACUGGUCCUUGAUGUGUAGGAUAGGUGGGAGGCUUUGAAGUGUGGACGCCAGUCUGCAUGGAGCCGUCCUUGAAAUACCACCCUUUAAUGGCUGGUGUUCUAACGUAGACCCGUGAUCCGGGUUGCGGACAGUGUCUGGUGGGUAGUUUGACUGGGGCGGUCUCCUCCCAAAGAGUAACGGAGGAGCACGAAGGUUAGCUAAUCCUGGUCGGACAUCAGGAGGUUAGUGCAAUGGCAUAAGCUAGCUUGACUGCGAGAGUGACGGCUCGAGCAGGUGCGAAAGCAGGUCAUAGUGAUCCGGUGGUUCUGAAUGGAAGGGCCAUCGCUCAACGGAUAAAAGGUACUCCGGGGAUAACAGGCUGAUACCGCCCAAGAGUUCAUAUCGACGGCGGUGUUUGGCACCUCGAUGUCGGCUCAUCACAUCCUGGGGCUGAAGUAGGUCCCAAGGGUAUGGCUGUUCGCCAUUUAAAGUGGUACGCGAGCUGGGUUUAGAACGUCGUGAGACAGUUCGGUCCCUAUCUGCCGUGGGCGCUGGAGAAUUGAGGGGGGCUGCUCCUAGUACGAGAGGACCGGAGUGGACGCAUCACUGGUGUUCGGGUUGUCAUGCCAAUGGCACUGCCCGGUAGCUAAAUGCGGAAAAGAUAAGUGCUGAAAGCAUCUAAGCACGAAACUUGCCCCGAGAUGAGUUCUCCCUGAGACUUUAAGUCUCCUGAAGGAACGUUGAAGACGACGACGUUGAUAGGUCGGGUGUGUAAGCGCAGCGAUGCGUUGAGCUAACCGAUACUAAUGAACCGUGAGGCUUAACCUUACAACGCCGAAG